Molecule: ribosomal RNA, 407 nt
Filed under: uncultured bacterium
Lineage: Bacteria
Description: bacterial SSU rRNA
Rfam family: Bacterial small subunit ribosomal RNA
Source: RNAcentral
GAUGAACGCUGGCGGCGUGCUUAACACAUGCAAGUCGAACGAACCUUCGGGUUAGUGGCGGACGGGUGAGUAACGCGUGGGAAUCUGCCCUCAGGAGGGGGAUAACGGCUGGAAACGGCCGCUAAUACCCCAUAUGCCGAGAGGUGAAACGAAUUUCGCCUGAGGAUGAGCCCGCGUCUGAUUAGCUAGUUGGUGGGGUAAGAGCCUACCAAGGCGACGAUCAGUAGCUGGUCUGAGAGGAUGAUCAGCCACACUGGGACUGAGACACGGCCCAGACUCCUACGGGAGGCAGCAGUGGGGAAUUUUCCGCAAUGGGCGAAAGCCUGACGGAGCAACGCCGCGUGAGGGACGAAGGCCUCUGGGCUGUAAACCUCGUUUCUCAAGUAAGAAGAUCUGACGGUACUUGA